GCCAAUGCAUGUGUGCCAAUGCAUCUAGCGCCUCCUCUCACAAAAUUGGUCAUUUUAGUAUUUAUUUUGAAAAAUUGAUUAUUUUCGUAUUUUAUUUGAAAAAUUUGGUUAUUUUGAAAAAAAAUUCUCAAAACUAAUCUUCAUUCGAUUUCAUAUGAUCCUGAUCCAUCCGAUUUUAACUUUAUCCUUCACUUUCACUCUCGAUAGUUUAAUUUCGUUUUACUUUCAACUGUUUCACUCAACCGUUUCAGUCUUGAUUCAUUCGCCCCAUUCGUUCUUCAAGCUUCGGUAACAAUUAGUUCAUUAUUAAUGGCUCUCAAUAGUUCUAAAUCAAUCAUAUUUCUGGGUUGCACUUGACAUUCAAAAUCUCUCAAACCUCAGUUGUCACAAGUAAAAACCGUUCAAAGUAUUCAAAUUUAAAAGUAAUUUAACUUUGUGUUGAAUUCAAGGUUGCUUUGGAAGGAUGUUGAUGAUAAACCAGGGUGCUUUGGUAGUUGCAGGUUGAAGCUCGCACAGAUAGCAUAUUCCCUACUCGGUGAGUCUUCUAUUCUUUAUUUUCCUAAUAGUAAUAGCUGCAUGCCCUGAUUAGGCAUCAUGUGCUGUUCUAGGACGACUAUUGUGUUCCAGCUUAGAUAGCUCUAUGUAUGCACCAGUUUUGUAGAUUUAGUGAUUAAUUUAUGCAGAGAAACGUUCCUUCUUAAGUGCUGCUGUCAUCUCUGUCCCUGUCGUUAGUAUAUCAUUACCUGACGGGGCAGAGGGGUUUUUGCGUUUCCCUUUAGGGCUAAGAAGUGGUGAGGAAUUCGCAAAACACGUCUCAUUAGGAAGCAUAGGAGUUAGAAAAGGUCAAGGUCACAUUUUACAUGCUUAUGACCAUCAUAUCCUUCCAUAUAGUCAAAAAGGAACAGAAAGUUCCUGAUAAAUUAAUUGUUUAUCUAUUAUUGUAUCUCUAGUAAUUGUCAUACUUGUUGAAUCCGUCUUAAUUGCAUUGUUUGAACUGAAAUGGCUAUGCUGUCAAGUGACUGAACAGGUGUUAAUAGUAGAUCACUAACUGAACAGGUAUUUUUCAUUCGCUUGGUUAUUCAAUUUUAUUAAUGUUGUUUAUCUGUUAUACUAUGUCAUUGUUACCUCAAUUCAGCUUGAGGAAACUUUCAGUGAAGUUGGACCUGUUAAGAUAUGCUUCAUGGUCACACAAAAGGGUAAGUAACUAAAGAUUAAUUCAAUAAUUAAGCAAGAUAAAUAAAUAAUAAAGUUUUUUUCUCUCUAUCACCUAUGGUUAAUCAUUCUCAGGGUUCACCCAACAACGUGGUUUCUGCUAUGACCAAUUGUAAGUUCAACUCAAUUUAUAUGUGCUUGUCUUAUAUUACUAAUUUAUUGCACUCUUUCACUUACAAGCAUUAGUAUGUGUUGUGUUUUUAUCAUCUCUUUUAAAUAUCAUUUCUUGCUUAUGCUUUGCUUUGCCUAUGACUAUGCAUAAAUUGAAAUGAUGCUAAAUAUGUACAUGCAUGAAUUUGUGUUGUUAAACAAUGCUAAAUAUGUACAUAGCAGAAUUUGAACUAACUGUCAUUGUUCUGUUAUACACUAAUUAUUUAGUACCAAAUGUUUUUCAAUAGAAGCUAUUAAACAUCUUUAUGGUUUGGUUUGGAAGGAAAACCAAACCGAAUUGAAUUGGAAAGAUAGUUUGCAUGAACUGUGCCAAAAUAUUUAUGUUAUGUACCUAACAAAACCUAAUUGUUUGUUUGUUCCAGUCCACCGAGUUCUUAUCUUAAUGAACUAAUCUGUUUUUGAGAUUAAGAGCCCAACAAUUUUCUUAUGCAAAACGGAACUCAACUCUUCAAGCAUAAGUGUAUUGAUUGGGAAAAAAAUGAAACUAGAAAAGCAACAAUUUAGUUCUUUACCAGUUAGUUCUUUCCUUUUUCAUUGUAGAAUAGUUAGCAAUAAACAAAAGUACUAUCAACACUUCCAGCAAUAAACAAAAUUGGAAUUAUUUGGUCUUAGUUUACUGAAAUCUAUCACAGUAAGAAUUUAUUGCGCAAUACAACAAAAUAGUUUCUUUAUUUGUUUUAUAUCCAACCGCUAUUGGAGAUUCUCUAUAAGGAAGUCAACUGAUUGCUUAUGUUUUCUAUCUUGCACAGGUUAUGGAUUCUCAUGGGUUGUGCUGGAAGUGUUAAUAGUUCUUUUUAAGGUUCAAUAUUGAAUUAUUUGGUCUUAGAUUGCUUUUGUUUAUUGCUAAUUUUGACUUGAGGCUGUCUUGUAUUCUUGUUCAAUAGGUAUUUCACCUUUAGCUAGAAGAUAUCAGUCAACUUCCAGCUUGUGCUUCUUUUAGAUUUUUUUAAAAUUCAUUUAUGGUCUUAAUUAUUAUUGUACUUGUAGAAUCUUUAGACUAUAAUUGUUUUGCUCUUGUAACUCCGGUUCCCCCUAUGUAGUACAUUGAUUUUCAUGGUAACGGUUGUGACAUGAAUCAUGAUCCUUUUUAUUGCAGAAAAUCACGAUCAAAUUUUAUCUGUUUUUUUAAUGGUUAUCGUUCUUACUCGAUUCUCGAUGUUGUUAGAAAGGAAGCUGAGAAUUGUGACUUUUUUUUUAAAUUGGAAUCACGAGGUAGUUUAACUGAACUGUAUUGAUCAAUGAUCUGAACCAGAUUGAAUCAGAUAUAUAGAAUUUUUCUGUAAUUUCGGUAUCUGGAAUGGAAAUGCUGUUGAUAUCGAAAAUAAGAGAGGAGUAUCCUGAUAGGAUGAUGCUUACAUUCUCGUUCGCCUAAGGUUUCUGAUACUGUUGUUGAACCUUACAAUGCUACUAUCUCAGUUCAUCAUUUGGUGGAGAAUGCUGACGAGUGUAUGGUUCUUGAUAGUGAAGCUCUUUAUGAUAUCUGCUUCAGGACCCUCAAGUUUACCACUCCUAACUGAUUCUGGUUUCCCAUGCUUCAAAGGUGGUUGGUUCACUACAGUAUCGUUGUAAUAAUGAAUUAAUAGGUGACUGGAUACAUCCUCUUUUCUUGUGAUGGCAAUGGGAGUAAUUUUCGUGUAAAUGAAGCUCUUCUAUUUGGAGAAGUUGCAUUGGCCUCCUUAAUGCCACUUUGAGGUAAAUCAAAUUGUACAGUGAUUUUUGCAGAGUAGGAUAAGAUUUUAUUGGUUUUUGAUAUGAGUACCUAUGUAAGCUCUUUAAUUCAUGAAAUCUUUUAGAGGGUGUUUGAAUUGUGGAACAGAUAUUGAUCUGAUAUGUUUUGGAUAUCUAUUAUCAAGGGCAGACAAAAUACAAUGUCGGUCAA
Lathyrus oleraceus (garden pea) is the source of this 3262-nucleotide long non-coding RNA. RefSeq lists it as uncharacterized. The transcript has 3 exons. The record is from RefSeq and is a predicted model, not a curated record. Lineage: Eukaryota; Viridiplantae; Streptophyta; Magnoliopsida; Fabales; Fabaceae.